This 388-nucleotide ribosomal RNA is filed under the name uncultured bacterium. Its description in RNAcentral is "bacterial SSU rRNA". It matches the Rfam family "Bacterial small subunit ribosomal RNA", at positions 28 to 413 of the family's 1533-position model. The record is from RNAcentral.
GACGAACGCUGGCGGCGUGCUUAAUACAUGCAAGUCAACUGAACUUGAGGUAGUAAUAUUUCAAGGGAGGUGGCGCACGGGUGAGUAACACGUAGGUAAUCUGCCUUUAGGUCUGACAUAAUUCCGCGAAAGCGGGACUAAUAUCAGAUGAUGCAGCGGCUCGACAUCGAGACAGUUGUUAAACCUUAGGGGCCUAAAGAUGAGCCUGCGUCUGANAGGUAGUUGGCGGAGUAAAAGCCCACCAAGCCUGCGAUCAGUAGCUGGUCUGAGAGGAUGAUCAGCCACACUGGAACUGAGACACGGUCCAGACUCCUACGGGAGGCAGCAGUAAGGAAUAUUGCUCAAUGGCCGAAAGGACUGAAGCAGCAACGCCGCGUGGAGGAUGAAA